AUUGAACGCUGGCGGCAUGCCUUACACAUGCAAGUCGAACGGUAACAGGUCUUCGGAUGCUGACGAGUGGCGAACGGGUGAGUAAUACAUCGGAACGUGCCUAGUAGUGGGGGAUAACUACUCGAAAGAGUGGCUAAUACCGCAUGAGAUCUACGGAUGAAAGCAGGGGAUCGCAAAACCUUGUGCUACGAGAGCGGCCGAUGGCAGAUUAGGUAGUUGGUGGGAUAAAAGCUUACCAAGCCGACGAUCUGUAGCUGGUCUGAGAGGACGAUCAGCCACACUGGGACUGAGACACGGCCCAGACUCCUACGGGAGGCAGCAGUGGGGAAUUUUGGACAAUGGGCGCAAGCCUGAUCCAGCAAUGCCGCGUGCAGGAUGAAGGCCUUCGGGUUGUAAACUGCUUUUGUACGGAACGAAAAGCCCUGGGUUAAUACCCUGGGGUCAUGACGGUACCGUAAGAAUAAGCACCGGCUAACUACGUGCCAGCCGCCGCCGUAA
Molecule: ribosomal RNA, 498 nt
Filed under: uncultured bacterium
Lineage: Bacteria
Description: partial 16S ribosomal RNA
Rfam family: Bacterial small subunit ribosomal RNA
Source: RNAcentral